AGACUGCUGUGAAACCCAGAACCAGACGCUGAAUCUGCUGGCGCCUUAAUCUUGGAUUUCCCAGCCUCCAGAACUAGAAUCAGAGCUCCAUGAGGGAAUGGCAGAGUCCAAGGCUGGGGCAGGGAAGCACCAGACGAGCCAGGAACACAGAGCAUCUUGAUGUACCAGAAAGUAAGGAACUGUAAAAACAAACAAACAAAAAGAGAUGGAGGGAACCCGUAACCUGAAUCAAGUCAUGAGGAAGCACCAGGCAAGUCCCACCGAACGUUCUACAAAACAACUGGUUUAUGUUCUUCAAACAUGUGAAUGUAAUGCAAGACGAAGACGUAGUAAGGAACUGUUCCAGAUUAAAGAAGAUUAAAGACACAUGACAAUUUAAUGCGUAUGUGACCCCUGGUUGAAGCUUGUACUAGAGGGGAAAAACGCUAUAAGGAAUUUUAUUGGUAUAAUUGACAAAAUUGGAAUGUGGAUUGUAGAGCAGGGGCUGGCCCAAUGACGUAUUGGUUAAGUUCACACACUCCACUUCAGUGGCCUGGGGUUCGAGGGUUCAGAUCCCGAGUGCGGGUUUUCACACUGCUCAUCACGCCAUGCUGUGGUGGCGUCCCACAUACAAAACAGAGGAAGCUAGGCACAGAUGUUAGCUCAGUGACAAUCUUCCUCAAGCAAAAAGAGGAAGAUUGGCAACAGAUGUUAGCUCAGGGCCAAUCUUCCCCACCAAAAAAAAAAAAAAUCUGGAUCGCAGAAAAAAGCAUAUAUCAAGGUUAAGUGUUCUGAUUUGAUAACUAUUUUGUGGUUAUGCAAGAAAAUAUACUUGUUUCUGGAACUAUAUAAUGAAGUAUUAAGAGUAUAAUAAAGACAUGAUCUAUAUAACCUCAAAUUGUUCAGAAAAAAUAAACAAUUACAGAGGGAAAGAAAGAGAGAGAUAAUCAAAUAAAUGUGAUAAAAUGUAAAAAAAAAGAUUAUUCUGGAUAAAGGCUAUAUGAGAGUUCUCUGUAAUUUUGGCAACAUUUCUUUACAU
This 1018-nucleotide long non-coding RNA is filed under the name Equus asinus (donkey). RNAcentral describes it as "lncRNA (ENSEASG00005030113.1)". The record is from RNAcentral. Lineage: Eukaryota; Metazoa; Chordata; Mammalia; Perissodactyla; Equidae.